This 1076-nucleotide long non-coding RNA is filed under the name Scleropages formosus (Asian bonytongue). RNAcentral describes it as "lncRNA (ENSSFOG00015032455.1)". The record is from RNAcentral. Lineage: Eukaryota; Metazoa; Chordata; Actinopteri; Osteoglossiformes; Osteoglossidae.
AUGUUUCGUGCAUUGACGGCGGAGUUUAUUCCCCUGACGCCCCUGCCCCCCACCCCUGGUCUUGAGCUUCAAGAAAUUUCUACACGCAUCACACAAUCGAGACAGGGCGGAGUUGCAACAAGCUUGGCUGGGUCCUGCUCUCCGGUGGGUCUGGGGUUCGAGUCCCGCUUGGGGUGCCUUGUGAUGGACCGGCGUCCCUCCCACGGUGUGUCCCCUCCUCCUCCAGCUUUGCCCCCUGCGUUGUCAGUCUCAUUUCGAAAACAUGACAUCUGGAAAUUGGCUCUCGGCCUGGAAGUCAAAGCCAGAAGAAAGUAUUCCAGGAAACCAAAACUUCGCUCGCUCCAUUAAUCCGACGCUUUUCUCCAAAGCAACUCCAGAAUUAUUUACCCGCAGCUGGGUGGUUUUACUGGAGUAAUUGAGGGAAAGUACCUUGCUCAAGAGGGGGUGCGGUGGUGCAGCUGUGCAGUGGGUUGGUCUUGGUCCUGCUCUUUGGUGGGUUUGGGAUUCGAGCCCCGCUUAGGGUGCCUUGUGAUGGACCGGCGUCCCGUCCUGGGCGUGUCCCCUCCCCCUCCGGUCUUACACCCCGUGUGCCGGGUUAGGCUCCGGUUCCCCGUGUCCCGCAUGGGGUGAGUGGUUCGGACGGACGGACCUUGCUCAGGGGUGCUAUGGCUGGAGGAGGGAUUUAAACCUGUGACCUUUAGGUGCCAAGGCAGCAGUCGUCCCAAAAUGACUGGCAUUUCAAAAUUGUUUAGCGAGAUUCUUUAGAUAUACCAAAGCUUUUACGCAAAGCAAAUAGCAGUUUUACUCGUUUUCAAAGCUGACAGUGUCUCAGUUCAAGAUAAAUCUCUUCCACUGUGGCGCAGGGACCCAGCUUUUAAUCUUAUUUUGUGCCGAAAAAUAUUAUCAUUAUUAUAUUUUACAUUUAUUCCUUUAGCAGACGCUUUUCUCCAAAGCAAUGUACAUAUAAGCAUAAGAAUAACGGUGGUAAUAAUAAUAACAAUCAUCAUCAUCAUCAUCAUCAUUAUUAUUAUUAUUAUUAUUAUUAUUAUUAUUACUGGGGGGGUGUAGUGGCGCAG